ACGUAGGGUCCGAGCGUUGUCCGGAAUUAUUGGGCGUAAAGAGCUCGUAGGCGGCAUGUCGCGUCUGCUGUGAAAGACCGGGGCUUAACCCCGGUUUUGCAGUGGAUACGGGCAUGCUAGAGGUAGGUAGGGGAGACUGGAAUUCCUGGUGUAGCGGUGAAAUGCGCAGAUAUCAGGAGGAACACCGAUGGCGAAGGCAGGUCUCUGGGCAUUAACUGACGCUGAGGAGCAAAAGCAUGGGGAGCGAACAGGA
This 253-nucleotide ribosomal RNA is filed under the name uncultured prokaryote. Its description in RNAcentral is "partial 16S ribosomal RNA". It matches the Rfam family "Bacterial small subunit ribosomal RNA", at positions 525 to 777 of the family's 1533-position model. The record is from RNAcentral.